UCUUUCAGUUUUAUAAAAUAUCAAUCGGAGAGUCGAGGUUAUCUUUCAGUUCUAUAAAAUACCGAUCUGAAGGUCUAGAUUAUUAUUCAGUUCUAUCAAAUAUCGAUCUGAAGGUCGAGGUUAUCUUUCAGUUCUAUGAAAUACCAAUCUAAAAAUCAAGAUUAUCAUUCAGUUUUAUCAAAUACUGACUUAAAAGUUGAGGUUAUCAUUUAAUUCUAUCUAUUCUUAAUGAAUCUAUUCCUAAAGAGCCUAUUUCUCAAGACCUAGAUCUUCCAAUUACCUUAAAAAAGUCACCAAAAAGUGCACUCAAUAUCUACUCUAUCCAAUUUUGCAAUUUGUCUCCCUUCAUCAUUUUUUUUUAUAACAUAAAAGUUUUCUCACUACCUUAGACUCAAUUGAUAUCUCUAAAACCAUACAAAAAGAAUUAACGGACAAGAAGUGGGUA
This 445-nucleotide long non-coding RNA is filed under the name Elaeis guineensis (African oil palm). RNAcentral describes it as "long non-coding RNA (EGUI_LNC021232)". The record is from RNAcentral. Lineage: Eukaryota; Viridiplantae; Streptophyta; Magnoliopsida; Arecales; Arecaceae.